CAACAAACACUUUUCGUGUCCUGCUGUAUAAAAGACAUCAGCUAUAUUACAGAUUUUAAACAGCAGGUGCCUUAUUCCUGCCCUUCUUUGUGCCUGCUGGACAAGCCUCUCUCCUCUUUCUUUUGCUGACUACAAGGAGUGGGACAGGGCACCUGAGACUCCGGCAACCCCAAGUGCCAACAUUGACCUGGCCCCUUACGUUUAGCUGCUCAUGUCUCCCUCACCCUUCUGGGGCCCCUCAUCAGCAUUUUCUUCUGGUGAUCUCUGACAUCUCCAAGGCCUAGACCACUCUAGGGUUUUGUAGGGAAUUGAGGUCUUUCUGUGCUGACCUCUAGGGCCACAUUAGAGUGCAGUUUUCACUGUUCUGUUAAACUAGUUUUCAUUCCUCCAUCAAAAUUGUGAAGCAGGGCUUUUGCUGAUGACUCCUCCUCUGUCUUCUUUGCCCCAAUGGAUUUAUCCCUUUAUGUUCUUUUACCGUCCUUUUUAGGGAAGAAUGAAGGUAAACAAAUGUGUUUAAUCCUUUAAUCUGAAGUCCGUUUCCAAAAUUACACAAAAGUUUUUACCAAACUGUCCCAACUUUGUUUGCGCAAA
Molecule: non-coding RNA, 591 nt
Organism: Saimiri boliviensis boliviensis (Bolivian squirrel monkey)
Lineage: Eukaryota; Metazoa; Chordata; Mammalia; Primates; Cebidae
Source: RefSeq, a predicted model, not a curated record